GAUUUGAAUUACUCUUUUUUAUCUUUUCCUUAUCCAAAAUAUAUGGGCUUCGCUUUGUUUUGAAUCAAAGACUUUUUUGUUGCGGCGACUUAAUUUCUCCCACGUGCUAAAAACAGGUGUAUACACGCGAUUACGAUACGUUAUCAUGCCCAUGUGGACAAUACGUUCUGUUAUCAGACACAGCUGAACAAUAAAGGUUGUCACUUCUUGUGUUAUAUGGUGAUCAUUAAUAUCACUCAUCGUAGAACGGUAAAGUCAGUUUUAUUUCUCUCCUGUUCACCAAAGCCGUGACUGUAGCGACAUUUUUCCGAAGAAGCGACGAUGAGGUUCGUCUGCCUUACACCAGCAUUGUUAUCUCUAGUAGUUCUGUUUUGUGAUGAAACAUCAUUUGUAGCCGGUUCUUAUGCCAAGCAGUGCGGGAGAAAUAAUCACCAUUUCAACAUGUGUUACAUGACUCGAUCACAUAUCGACUCACUACUGAAUCGAAACUGCGUGAAGAGAAGGAAACGAGCCCAAGCACAAUCAGAUGAAAAUUUCUUACAAUCACCUGAAGAAGCCCGAAGUUUUUUACGGAGAUCUGCUGAAAAAUAUGUUAUAAAUUACGUAUUAUUUAUGGAAGAAUGUUGUUUAGAAGGCUGUUGCAGACGAGAAGAAAUUAUGGAACACUGCUUACCAUCAUUUAAGAAUUAAAGGACAAUUUUAAAAGGUUUAUAUUAGGAUUUUGUAAAAUUUAUUUCAAUGGGAGAGAACAUUGUCUAAGAAUAACGUCUGACAAGAGUAGAAAUAUAUGUUCAUCCCAAACUUGUGAUUAUUAAAGUGUGUGAUUCACGAUUGCGUCUGUUAUGUAUUCGUAGAAAUCAAUGCCAUUCUGCUACCCAGGUAAUGAAGCUGUUCCGUCAAGCCUACCAUAGGUUCAAGUUAAAAUUUUGCCCCCUCCCCCACUACC
Molecule: long non-coding RNA, 946 nt
Organism: Orbicella faveolata
Lineage: Eukaryota; Metazoa; Cnidaria; Anthozoa; Scleractinia; Merulinidae
Source: RefSeq, a predicted model, not a curated record